Non-coding RNA from Meleagris gallopavo (turkey), 785 nucleotides. The record is from RefSeq and is a predicted model, not a curated record. Lineage: Eukaryota; Metazoa; Chordata; Aves; Galliformes; Phasianidae.
UGGGGGAGGAGCAAAAGGGGAGUUGGCAGUUGGGAUGUGCUGCUGGGGGUGGUUUUUUGGUUGUCAAGUUUUGCUUCUGUUUAGGUGUAGCAGCAUAGAAUAUGUUCAAAAGUUACCUUUCUUGCUGUUAUUAAAUUCUUUUUCCAACAGUGGAACUGCAGAAGAGGCUCUACGUAAUAACCUGUGAUCAGGAUGCUGGUUAUAGGCUGGUAAGCAAUUGAAGAAGCCUGUCUUUCCACGAUUCAGAGCAUAUAAUAAGAAAUGAAAGCAAGAAGCAGCUCGAUAAUGUGAUAGUGCCAUUCAUUAUUCCUCCAACUGAAAGGAUUCUGCUUCCUUGCAGACCACUGAGGUCAUUUUUGUCACUGAAAGCUGAGUGAGGGCAGAUCGCAUGACGUCAUCUGGCCUGGCUGUUGCAUGCAGCAGAGAAAGGCUCUUGCAGUGAGAGCAAGACUGGGCCUGGAGCGCGGUAGUGAAUGUGUGGAUGGAUUUGAAAGCCAAUGCAGGAGCUUCAGCUGUGCCACCCUGGGAAAACAGAUCCUUAGAUGAACAGACUGUGUGGGGAGCAUGUAGCUUCAGUUGUACAACGGGCAGGUAUAACUUAAGUCCGCCCUGCUUCCUACUGCUGUUCUUUUCCAGUUGCUGUACAGCAGUCUCUGUAUGUCACUGUAUGUAACAGUGUUCCCCUUGUCAAAUGAUUUUAGCCCCUGUGAGGAGACAUGAUAGUAAAGGAGAACCCUGGCUGUUCUUACAUAUUUAUCUUUUAAUAAAUUGUUGGUGACCUUAUG